GACGAACGCUGGCGGCGUGCUUAACACAUGCAAGUCGAACGGAAAGGCCCUGCUUUUGUGGGGUGCUCGAGUGGCGAACGGGUGAGUAACACGUGAGUAACCUGCCCUUGACUUUGGGAUAACUUCAGGAAACUGGGGCUAAUACCGGAUAGGAGCUCCUGCUGCAUGGUGGGGGUUGGAAAGUUUCGGCGGUUGGGGAUGGACUCGCGGCUUAUCAGCUUGUUGGUGGGGUAGUGGCUUACCAAGGCUUUGACGGGUAGCCGGCCUGAGAGGGUGACCGGCCACAUUGGGACUGAGAUACGGCCCAGACUGCUACGGGAGGCAGCAGUGGGGAAUAUUGCACAAUGGGCGGAAGCCUGAUGCAGCAACGCCGCGUGCGGGAUAACGGCCUUCGGGUUGUAAACCGCUUUCGCCUGUGACGAAGCGUGAGUGACGGUAAUGGGUAAAGAAGCACCGGCUAACUACGUG
RNAcentral lists this ribosomal RNA (468 nucleotides) under uncultured bacterium. RNAcentral describes it as "partial 16S ribosomal RNA". It matches the Rfam family "Bacterial small subunit ribosomal RNA", at positions 28 to 507 of the family's 1533-position model. The record is from RNAcentral.